This 810-nucleotide ribosomal RNA is filed under the name uncultured bacterium. RNAcentral's name for it is "bacterial SSU rRNA". It matches the Rfam family "Bacterial small subunit ribosomal RNA", at positions 8 to 796 of the family's 1533-position model. The record is from RNAcentral.
AGAGUUUGAUCAUGGCUCAGAACGAACGCUGGCGGCGUGGAUAAGACAUGCAAGUCGGACGGGAUUUUCCGUUGUAGCAAUACAAUGGAAAGUCUAGUGGCGAACGGGUGCUUAACACGUGGGCAACCUGCCAGGAAGUGGGGGAUAGCUCGCCGAAAGGCGAAUUAAUACCGCAUGUGAUUAGAGAGGACAUCCUUUCGAAAUUAAAGUCGGGGCAACCUGACGCUUCUUGUGGGGCCCGCGGCCUAUCAGCUAGUUGGUGAGGUAACGGCUCACCAAGGCUUUGACGGGUAGCUGGUCUGAGAGGACGACCAGCCACACUGGGACUGAGACACGGCCCAGACACCUACGGGUGGCAGCAGUCGAGAAUUUUUGACAAUGGGGGAAACCCUGAUCGAGCGACGCCGCGUGGAGGAUGAAGGUCUUCGGAUUGUAAACUCCUGUCAUUGGGGAACAAGGUGCAUGCGUUAACUGCGUGUGCAUUGAUAGUACCCGAAGAGGAAGAGACGGCUAACUCUGUGCCAGCAGCCGCGGUAAUACAGAGGUCUCAAGCGUUGUUCGGAUUCAUUGGGCGUAAAGGGUGCGUAGGCGGCGCGGUAAGUCGGGUGUGAAAUCUCGGAGCUUAACUCCGAAACUGCAUUCGAUACUGCCGUGCUUGAGGACUGGAGAGGAGACUGGAAUUUACGGUGUAGCGGUGAAAUGCGUAGAUAUCGUAAGGAAGACCAGUGGCGAAGGCGGGUCUCUGGACAGUUCCUGACGCUGAGGCACGAAGGUCAGGGGAGCAAACGGGAUUAGAUACCCUAGUAGUCC